Hydra vulgaris (swiftwater hydra) is the source of this 2806-nucleotide long non-coding RNA. RefSeq lists it as uncharacterized. Lineage: Eukaryota; Metazoa; Cnidaria; Hydrozoa; Anthoathecata; Hydridae. The record is from RefSeq and is a predicted model, not a curated record.
CAUGUAUGAUGUACAAUAAAAAUACUUUUGUUUAUUUUUAUUCAUAUUAAUUUAUUCAUAAUCAUAUUUACAAUGCCCACCAACUCCUCCCCCUCCAUCCUCACCCUAAAUCCUAGGACCCCACCACCACACCUCUUCUACUGUCUGCCAUUAAGUUCUUAUUAUAUUAAUACUCAAUACACAGUUAAUUAAUUUUAUAUUUAACUUUAUAAAUAUUUAAAACAAUUCUUUGUUCAAACAUUUGAAUAUUUCAGAAAAAUGGGAAGAGCUAAAGCUAAAAAAAAAGCUGUAAAGGCAAUCAAUUACAACCCAAGAGGACCUGUAUAUCUCCUUGAAACUCCACUGAGCUCUCUACCUAGCAGACAUUUGUGUACUUAAUAGUCAUGUUAUUUCUGUAUGUUAUUUCUGUAUGUUAUUUCCUCCAUGGUUAAAAGAUUCAAACCAAUCAAUACUAACUUUGCUUGUGUACAAAAGAAAUGCAAAGGAACUGAUAGGCCUUUCAACACUGUGACUGGAGAGUACUGUUUGCUCCAGAGUAUUGUAAAUAUUUGGGCCUCUUGUGGUUUUCAGAACUAUGUUCUUUCAGAAGUAAGCAUACUAAGCACGUUUCUAGAAAUUUACAAGCAAUAUAAAGCUGUUUGUAAUAAAUAAACAUUUAAAAUUAAACCAAAUGCAUCUUAAAUGCAGCAAAAAAAGUUCCUGAUAAUAACAGAUGACCUGUUUGAUAUCAGUUCUCAACAGUUUGAGUACAUUAUGCGUCAGGAUACUUCUAUGCCAAGAGACAGUGCUACAAUAAAAGAAGACCUAAGACUUUCUUCAAGAUCAAAGACAAGACAGAAAAAUGCUUAUCAGUGCUUGUGUUGAUGAAGAGUUAGAGAUCGAGAGAAGAAUUGACAGAUACACUAGACACGAAGAACUAUGGAAGAAAGCUGAAACAGAUCGUUUGGUUCUUAAUGAUCCAGAGAGAACAGACAAUAAAGAUUAGGACUAUAUCAGUGAAAAAGAUAAAUCACCUUUUAAAAAAUGUAAAAGAAAAUCAGCAUUAGGUCUUUCCCAGCUGUACCCUGAUAGAGAAGAUUAUCACCCUGACUUUAGAAAUGAUCUAACUGGCUGAUAAACCUGAUAGACCUAAAUCAAGACACAGAUCUGGUCCCUCAGCCUUGGCAGUAAACAAGGAGAUCUAUACGGAGGGUUUGAUUGCAGAAACCACGCCAAUGUGUAUGAGGGCUGGUAUCCAUAUAAGAGAUCAAACUCUAAUCAUCUCUAGCAUUGUAAUUUAUCUUAAAGAAGAUAUCACAGAGUAUUAGCAGAGAGUCAAUCAGAAGAGGCAGAAACUAAUUCAUUCUUAAGCUUGUAAAAUCUGUAAUGAGUAUAUGGAAAAAAUAAAGAACAAGUCAUUAAUGCUACACUUUGAUGGAAAAAUUGUAAAGCCCAUUGAAGAAGAAUCAAGGAAAAGUUCUUAUUGAUAGACUAGCAGUGUCAGUUACAAGUCUUGAGUUUUCGUCAAACAAUGAUUUACUUCUUGGAGUUUUUCAUGUGGAUGAUGGAAAAGCUAAUGAUGGGGCUAUUGUACCACAAUCUGGUAGAUUAUUUUGAAAUAUCAAAGAAUAUCAUUUCUGUGUGUACUGAUACAAUAGUUUUCAACACAAGAAAAAAAUCAGGAGCAGUUGUAACUUAAGUCAGUUUUGGGACAAUCAGUUUUCUGGCUGUUGUGUCGACACCUCAUUGUAGUGAUCCAUUUAAAAUGGGGCAUUAAAGCUAUUUUUAAAGACCAAACUGUGGAACCCUCAAAACAGAUGUAUAAAGAUUUAAAGCAUGCUUGGAUGAAUAAUUAUUACCCUAUUGUUAGUAAAGCAAGAGCUAAGAAAAAAUUCAAGAAAUUUCCUUAAAGUGAGCUGGUUGUUGGAAGCAAUCUUCACAGUUCAUAUCUUAAGUCUAAGAAAUUUAUUGCUUAUUCCCUUCAGCAUAAUGUCUUUUCUAGGAAUGAUUAUAAUCACUGGGUAAAAUACCUUGAUUUCUAUAUGAAUGUCAAAUCACCCAGGCUUUGUACCAACUAGGUGCUAACCCUAAUGCCAGAUUUAUGUUUGACAGCAUCUACUCGGGGCUUCUGGAUAUAACAUCUUCUAUUAUUAACUUCCUGAGUGAUGAUCAGAUGACUGGUCUCUAAGGCUAAGUUUAUUGUUGCUCUAUACUUUGCUCGUUCAUUUCUGAAAUUUAGCGAAGCUGAACAUGCACUAGUAAAUGACCUUGAGGCCAUUUACGACUGUAAAUGGCCUCAAGUGUAGCAACAAAGCUGCUAAAAUCAUCCAAAAAUAUAUACCAAGUGUAGCAACAAAGCUGCUAAAAUCAUCCAAAAGAAUUGGGAUUGGCUGAUCCUGAUCUUGAUUUGUCUACCAAAAUGUCUGUCAUAGGAAAGCUACUUACAUUCUGUGUACCUAACCAGAAAGGUUUAGGCUUAUAGGCUCCAAGAAGAGUAUCCAUCUAAGUCUACUAAACAAGAAGACUUAAUUACAGAGGAAAGCUGGCUUUUGUUUAUUAUUACUGACACCACUAGUGUUGUCAGGGAGUGGUAUUAGACUGAGGUAGACUUAAAGUAACUUAAAUCUUAUAUAGACUUUUGUAGCUUUGUAUGUGUCACUAAUGAUUUUGCUGAAAGAGACAUUGGUGCUAUCCAAGAAUAUGUUGAUACAUCCCACAAUGAAGAUCAACACCAGAAUAUAUUGUUGGUUGUCUGAGAGCAUAGAAAGCUUGUUUCAAAAAAAAUGCCAGUCUCAACUUAUGUUAAAUAAAUGAUGUUAAAAAAUAA